This 253-nucleotide ribosomal RNA is filed under the name uncultured bacterium. Its description in RNAcentral is "partial 16S ribosomal RNA". It matches the Rfam family "Bacterial small subunit ribosomal RNA", at positions 524 to 776 of the family's 1533-position model. The record is from RNAcentral.
UACGAAGGGGGCUAGCGUUGCUCGGAAUCACUGGGCGUAAAGCGCACGUAGGCGGAUUGCUAAGUCAGGGGUGGAAUCCUGGAGCUCAACUCCAGAACUGCCUUUGAUACUGGCAACCUUGAGUCCGGGAGAGGUGAGUGGAACUGCGAGUGUAGAGGUGAAAUUCGUAGAUAUUCGCAAGAACACCAGUGGCGAAGGCGGCUCACUGGCCCGGUACUGACGCUGAGGUGCGAAAGCGUGGGGAGCAAACAGG